AAAAGAUUUUUGUGGGUAAAAAAUUUUUUUUUCAGGGGGGGGAGGGGAGAAGGGUUAAAACCCUUUCCUUUGUGGUUUUUCCCAGAGAAAAAAACCCGGUUUAAUUCUGUGCCCCCCCCCCCGGUAAUACGGAGGGGGCCAAGCCUUUUUUUGAAUUUUUUGGGCGUAAAAACCCCCCCGGGGGGUUUGUUCAAUUUGGAAGUGAAAUACCCCGCCUCCCCCCGGGGGAGUGCCCUCGGAAGUGGCGGGCAAGAGUUUUUUUAGAGGGGGGGGGCAUUCCAGGUGUAGCGGCGAAAUACGUAAAGAUUUUGAGGAAUACCCCGCGGCGGAGGCGGCCCCCUGGAGCAAAAAAAGACGCUCGAGGUGCGAAAAACAGGGGGAGCACACAGGAGUAGUUUUCCCCCGUGGUCCUCCCCGCAGAAGACGUCGCCUAUGAGGAGGUGGCCCUGAAGCGUCGCGUCUUCAGCAAAAAACGUUAAUAAGUCCACCCCGUGGGGACUCCCGCCACAAGGUUAAAACUAAAAUGAAUUGGGGGGGCCCCGCACAAGGGGUGGAGCAUGUGGUUUAAUUCGAUGCAACGGGAAGACCCUUACCUACUCUCGACAUCCAGAGAACUUAGCAGAGAUGCUUUGGUCCCUUGGGGAACUCUGAGACAGGUGCUGCAUGGCUGUCGUCAGCUCGUGUUGUGAAAUGUUGGGUUAAGUCCCGCAACGAGCGCAACCCUUAUCCUUUGUUGCCAGCGGUUAGGCCGGGAACUCAAAGGAGACUGCCAGUGAUAAACUGGAGGAAGGUGGGGAUGACGUCAAGUCAUCAUGGCCCUUACGAGUAGGGCUACACACGUGCUACAAUGGCGCAUACAAAGAGAAGCGACCUCGCGAGAGCAAGCGGACCUCAUAAAGUGCGUCGUAGUCCGGAUUGGAGUCUGCAACUCGACUCCAUGAAGUCGGAAUCGCUAGUAAUCGUGGAUCAGAAUGCCACG
This 979-nucleotide ribosomal RNA is filed under the name Enterobacter bugandensis. RNAcentral's name for it is "partial 16S ribosomal RNA". It matches the Rfam family "Bacterial small subunit ribosomal RNA", at positions 406 to 1361 of the family's 1533-position model. Lineage: Bacteria; Pseudomonadati; Pseudomonadota; Gammaproteobacteria; Enterobacterales; Enterobacteriaceae. The record is from RNAcentral.